This is a ribosomal RNA of 1005 nucleotides. The stretch from base 504 to 720 matches the Rfam family "Bacterial large subunit ribosomal RNA", at positions 1693 to 2033 of the family's 2925-position model.
UUAUAAAUUUUAUUUGUUUAUUUUAGUUAUAAAUUGUUUUAAUUACAUAGUUGGAAUAAAGUUUAUAUUAAAAUUUUGGUUUUUCUUACCUUUUGUAUAAUGGUUAAAUUAAAAUUUAAUUAUUUAAUUAUUCCCGAAUUGAGAAGAGCUAAUCAUUAACUUUUAUUAGAAUUAUUUAACUUAUGUGGAAAUAUGGGUUUUAGAUUAAUGAUUAGGGGUGAAAUUUCUUCAAUUCUCAGGAUAUCUGGAAAUUUGAGAAAAGCAUUUAGUGCUGUAAAGUUAGGUUUAAAGUGUUUAGAUUUUAAAUCUGUAAGUAUUAGAAAUUACAAUUAAGUUUUUUAGGUUUAAAACCCACAAUUUUUUAAUUACUAUAAAUUUAUUUUUCUUAAUAAUCUUAAAAAUAUCAAAUUUUUUUUCAUAAUUAGUUGAAAAAAUAAUAAUGUUUAAAUUAGUAAUAAUGUAGUUAAGUUUUGUAUUAAUUAAUUUUUUUAUUAUUUAAUAUGUAUUAAAUACUUUUAAGGAAUUCGGCAAAUAGGGGCUUGGACUGUUUAACAAAAACAUAGCCACAUGAAGAUAUUUGUGGUUUAACCUGCCCGAUGUAGUUUUCAACUAUCAAUGGCCGCGGUACCCUGACCGUGCUAAGGUAGCGUAAUCAGUUGGCUUUUAAAUGGAGUCAGGUAUGAAUGGGAUAACUGGGCUUAGCUGUCUCAGGAGUAUUUAAUUGAAUUUACUGUUUAAGUGAAAAAGCUUAAAUUAAGGAAAAGGGACGAGAAGACCCUUAGAAUUUUAUUUAAAGUAAGAUUGUUCUUACUAUAAUUUUGUUGGGGCGACAGAGAAAUAAUUACAACUUUCUUUAAAAUUAAUAAGUCGGAAUUUUCAGGAUAAGAAAAAUUACCUAAGGGAUAACAGCAUAAUUCUAUAAUUGAGUUUGUGACCUCGAUGUUGGAUUAGGAAGCUAACAGGUUAGCUGCUUGUUGUGCGGAUUCUGUUCGAAUUUUAACUCCU